GUGGGNGAACCUGCGGAAGGAUCAUUG
This 27-nucleotide ribosomal RNA is filed under the name Scorpidium cossonii. RNAcentral describes it as "partial 18S ribosomal RNA". The record is from RNAcentral. Lineage: Eukaryota; Viridiplantae; Streptophyta; Bryopsida; Hypnales; Amblystegiaceae.